DUMUAAUAAGCGGAGGAAAAGAAACUAACAAGGAUUCCCCCAGUAACGGCGAGUGAAGUGGGAAAAGCUCAACUUUGAAAUCUGGCUGUUUUACAGUCCGAGUUGUAGUCUCGAGAAGUGUUUUCCGCGUUAAACCGUGUAUGAGUCUGUUGGAACACAGCGUCAUAGAGGGUGAGAACCCCGUUCAUGACACGGCUUUUAAUGCUUUGUGAUACACUUUCGAUGAGUCGAGUUGUUUGGGAAUGCAGCUCAAAUUGGGUGGUAAAUUCCAUCUAAAGCUAAAUAUUGGCGAGAGACCGAUAGCAAACAAGUACCGUGAGGGAAAGAUGAAAAGCACUUUGGAAAGAGAGUUAAAAGUACGUGAAAUUGUCGAAAGGGAAACGCUUGAAGUCAGACGUGCACGGGAUUUAUUCCUAUUGCAGGCCGACAUCGGUUUUACGAGCCGGAUAAAGGUACAAGGAAGGUAGCAGUUUCGGCUGUGUUAUAGCCUCGUACUGAAUACGGAUUGUGAGACCGAGGGACGCAGCGCGCCGCAAGGCAAAGGGUCCGCCCUUUUCGCGCUUAGGAUGUUGGUGAAAUGGCUUUAAUCGACCCGUCUUGAAA
This 603-nucleotide ribosomal RNA is filed under the name Erythrobasidium hasegawianum. RNAcentral's name for it is "LSU rRNA". It matches the Rfam family "Eukaryotic large subunit ribosomal RNA", at positions 41 to 659 of the family's 3401-position model. The record is from RNAcentral. Lineage: Eukaryota; Fungi; Basidiomycota; Cystobasidiomycetes; Erythrobasidiales; Erythrobasidiaceae.